RNAcentral lists this ribosomal RNA (439 nucleotides) under uncultured bacterium. Its description in RNAcentral is "partial 16S ribosomal RNA". It matches the Rfam family "Bacterial small subunit ribosomal RNA", at positions 339 to 795 of the family's 1533-position model. The record is from RNAcentral.
CUACGGGCCGCUGCAGUGGGGAAUAUUGCAUAAUGGAGGAAACUCUGAUGCAGCAACGCCGCGUGGAGGAUGACACUUUUCGGAGCGUAAACUCCUUUUAUAUAGGAAGAAGAUGACGGUACUAUAUGAAUAAGCGCCGGCUAACUCCGUGCCAGCAGCCGCGGUAAUACGGAGGGCGCAAGCGUUACUCGGAAUCACUGGGCGUAAAGAGCGUGUAGGCGGAUUAAAAAGUCAGAAGUGAAAUCCUAUAGCUUAACUAUAGAACUGCUUCUGAAACUCUUAAUCUAGAAUAUGGGAGAGGUAGAUGGAAUUUCUGGUGUAGGGGUAAAAUCCGUAGAGAUCAGAAGGAAUACCGAUUGCGAAGGCGAUCUACUAGAACAUUAUUGACGCUGAGACGCGAAAGCGUGGGGGGCAAACAGGAUUAGAUACCCCCGUAGUC